This 468-nucleotide ribosomal RNA is filed under the name uncultured bacterium. RNAcentral's name for it is "partial 16S ribosomal RNA". It matches the Rfam family "Bacterial small subunit ribosomal RNA", at positions 28 to 507 of the family's 1533-position model. The record is from RNAcentral.
GACGAACGCUGGCGGCGUGCUUAACACAUGCAAGUCGAACGGCAACGCCCUGCCUUUGUGGGGUGCUCGAGUGGCGAACGGGUGAGUAACACGUGAGUAACCUGCCCUUGACUUUGGGAUAACUUCCGGAAACUGGGGCUAAUCCCGGAUCGGAGCUCCUGCUGCAUGGUGGGGGCUGGAAAGUUCCGGCGGUUGGGGAUGGACGCGCGGCUUAUCAGCUUGUUGGUGGGGUAGUGGCUCACCAAGGCUUUGCCGGGUCGCCGGCCUGAGAGGGUGACCGGCCACAUGAGGACUGAGGUACGGCCCAGUCUCCUACGGUAGGCAGCAGUGGGGAAUAUUGCACAAUGGGCGGAAGCCUGAUGCAGCAACGCUGCGGUCGUGAUGACGGCCUUCGGGUUGUAAACCGCUUGCGCCUGUGACGGAGCGUGAAUGACGGUAAUGGGUAAAGAAGCACCGGCUAACUACGUG